RNAcentral lists this long non-coding RNA (6389 nucleotides) under Sus scrofa (pig). Its description in RNAcentral is "lncRNA (ENSSSCG00030074514.1)". The record is from RNAcentral. Lineage: Eukaryota; Metazoa; Chordata; Mammalia; Artiodactyla; Suidae.
UGUUUAGAGUAGAUUUAUUCAUAAUUGCCAGAACUUGGAAGCAAUCAAGAUGUUCCUCAGUAGGUAAAUGGAUAAAUGAGUUGUGGAAUGUCCAGACAAUGGAAUAUUACUCAGCAGUAAAAAGAAAUAAGCAUGUUGAUAAAGCAACCCAAAAGCUAGACACAGAUUAAAUGCAAGCCCUACCAAAAUUCCAAGGACAUUUAGUACAGAAAUAAACAAUUGUACAUUUUCUAUGUAUAACUGUUCAUGAAAUGAAAAAAGAUCUCAAAUAGCCAAAACAAUCUUAAGUGAGAAGAGCAAAGUUAAAGGCAUCAUGUUACGAUAGUGACAUAAAAACAGACACAUAGAUCAAUGGAACAAAACAGAGAGCCCAGAAAUCAUCCACACAUAUAUGGUCAAUAAAAUUAUGACAAAGGAGCCAAGAAUAUACAAUGGGGAAAGGACAAUUUCUUCAACAAAUAAUGCUGGGAAAUUGGACAGUCCCAUGCAAAAGAAAGAAACAACCCUUAUCUUACACUGAAAUCAACUUAAAAUGGAUUAAAAGCUUGAAAGUAAGACCUGAAACCAUAAAAUUCCCAGAUGAAGAGCUAAGCAAUAAGCUCCUAGACACUGGUCUUGGUGAUUUUUUUGGAUUUGACCUCAAAUAUGAAAGCAGAAGUUAAAAAAAAAAAAAGAAAAGGGACACAUCCAACCAAAAAGCUUCUAUACAGCAAAGAAAACCAUCAAUAAAAUGAAAAAGAGACCUACCAAAUCGGAGAAAAUAUUUGUGAACCAUCUAGUCUUUUAGGGAUUAAUAUCCAAAAUAAACAAAAAAAAAUCAUAGAAAUCAAUAGCAAAAAGUAAAUAAACCUAUUUUAAAUUGGGCAUAAGAUUUGAACAGACAUUUUUUCCAAAAGAGAUACACAGAUAGCUAACAGGCUUAUGAAAAGAUGUUCGACAUCACUAACCAUGAGGGAAAUGCAAAUCGAAAUUACAAUGUAAUAUCACUUCACACCUGUCAGAACAGCUAUUAUCAAAAAGACAAGAAAUAACAACUGUUGGUGAGAAUGCGUAGGAAAAGGUACCGUCAUACACAGUUGAUGGGAAUGUAAAUUGGUGAAAAUAGAAAAUAAUAUGGAGGAUCCUCGAAAAAUCUCUGUCUAUGUCUAUACAAUGGAAUAUUAUUCAGUCAUAAAAGAAGGGAAAUCUGCCUUUUGCAACAACAUGGAUGGAGCCUAAGUGAAAUAAGUCAGAGAAGAACAAAUACUGUAUGUUCUUCCUUAUAUGUGGAAGCUAAAGCUAAACUCGUAAAAAUAGAGAGGAGAAUAAUGGUUGGCAGAGGCUGGAUAGUAGAGGAAAUGGAUGUUGGCUAAAGCAUACAAAUGUCUAGCUAUACGAUUAAUAAAUUCUCAGAGUUCCCGUCAUGGCUCAGUGGUUAACGAAUCUGACCAGGAACCAUGAGGUUGCGGGUUCAAUCCUAGGCCUUGCUCAGCGGGUUAAGGAUCCAGCGUUGCUGUGAGCUGUGGUGUAGGUUGCAGACACGGCUCGGAUCCUGCGUGGCUGUGGCACUGCCCUAGGCCAGUGGCUACAGCUCCGAUUCGACCCCUAGCCUGGGAACCUCCAUAUGCUACAGGUAGGGCACCAGAAAAGACAAAAAGACAAAAAAAUUAAAAAAAAAGAUUAACAAGUUCUAAGAAUCUAAUGUACAACACAACAGAGUACCUCUGAUUAACGAUACUGUAUUACAUACUUAAGGGUUUUAUGAGAGUUCAUCUUAAAUGUGAUUACCCCAAAAAAGAAAAAAUGGUAAUGUGAGGGGAUGGAGAUGUUAACAAACCUUACUGUAAUAAUCUCACAAUAUAUACAUGUAAAUAUAAAUACAUAUGUAAAUAUAAAUACAUAUAAAUCAUCAGACAUUAAACUGACAUAUAUUACAUGUCAAUAACAUCUCAAUAAACAUGGGAAAAAUCUAUAAUUUUUGAAAAGUUAAAAAAAAUUAAGUUGUCCCAAAAAAUGCACUUUUAACUUUUUACUACUUAAAUGAAUUUUAUUAUAUUUAUAGUUGUACACACUUUCAAAUAGUUCAGGAAAAAAUAUCAAGAUAUAGUAGAGGAGACAAUAAAGCAAACGUGGCAAAUGUUAAGAAUUGUUAAAUGCAGAUAAAGAGUACAGCUGAGUUCUUUCAACUUGUCUGUAAGAUUUAAAUUAUUUCCAAUCAUAAAUGAGAGAGAGAGAUCCCAGUUCUAGAACUAUAUAAUCAGUAAUCCUACAAGUUCUUAUUGAAUAGAUUUGAGGCAAAACCUGGAUUUGGAAUUUUUUUGUUUUAGGGCCACACCUGUGGCAUAUAGAAGUUCCCAAACAAGGGGCUGAAUCUGAAUUGCAGCUGCCAGCUAUGCCACAGCAGCAGCAAUGCCAGAUCCAAGCUACAUCUUCAACCUCCGCCGCUGGAUCUUUAACCCAUAGAACAAGGCCAGAGACCAAACCGCCACCCUCAUGGAUAUUAGUCAAGUUCAUAACCUGCUGACCCACAAGGGGAACUGUAUGGAUUAGGGAUUUUUUAAAGUCCCCCCUCCCCAGUGAUUCUGAAGUAUAAUCAGACUUGAGAAUCAUGCCUCUAAAAGGACAUACUCUCACCUGUAAAAUGAUCCCACAAUAUUGUUCAUUAAGUUGAAGACCAAAAUCUUACUCCCAGUUUUUUUUAAUGAGAUCAAAUUUCAUCAUUAUAAUGAAUAAUAAAUAUUGAUACUAUUAAGGAAAAUAUCAUAAAAGGCAUUUCUGGGUUUUACAUUGUAUAUGAAAUUCAGGGUCUCUGCCCACCGGGUAUCUGUGAGUCUUCCUCUCAUGCCUGCUGUGGGGUCAUGUGUGCAGGCUAAACACUGCAGUCAAAUGUCCUGUGUAGACUAAAUUUAAUUUCCCAGGGAAGCAAACCAUCCUUCCUUAAAGCUGCAUGAGUGACAAGAGCCCUUUUUACUAGGCAUGAUAGAUAAUUCUGAAACAACCAGCUCCAGACAAUCUAGUGAGUAAUGAACUUGAGCAGGGCAGUAGAGGACCGCAUGAUUUACAUUCAUUAAAACUAAUUAAAACCACAAGCAGAAACGAAAAGCUAGUGCCUUUUAUAAUCAACGAUUAUUGGACUACACUACAAACUACUUCUAACUCUUUUAAGCCGUCCCUCUCUGAACAGUUAACUCUCUCUAUCCCACAUCCUAGACUGGCGUUUCAUGUUGGAUUUUGCCUUCUGCCAAGGAGAUUAUUUAUUAUUCUGAAAUAGGGACUCUAUUAUCAUUACAUUUAUUUCCAGGGUAAAAUGUAAACAGUCUAGCAGGUGUUUAUGAUUCCAUCUGAAGCAAUGGAGAUACGGUAUCUCAUACAUCUCUUCCUUCUUCCCACAAGUAGGUGUUCUCUGAAAAGUACCAUACAGGUCUUUCUGUAAUCUUGAGACCAAAAUAUUUUAAAAGUACACAGACUAAAAGUUUGACCUCCAAGUUGAAGCCAUCCACGAGUACACUCAGAUCCACUUUUUACUCAAUGCCUCCAAGUAGAGUUCUGAUGUAAUCUCUAACUCAACUAUAUAAUCAAUCCUCAAAUGAAGUUCUUUGGGCAAUAAACAAUAUCUCCAACCAGCUCCAAGAUCCUUAAUGAAUAUUGUAACAUCUAUAAAGUCAAAUGGUACAUUCCAAUAAAAAAAAAUGGGUGACAUCAUGGGUCAUUUUUUUCUUUUUUAUAGGGCUGUACCUGCAGCAUAUGGAGGUUCCCAGGCUAGGGGUGGAAUUAGAGCUGUAGCCACUGGCCUAUGCCACAGCCACAGCAAUGCCAGAUCCAAGCCGUGUCUGCAAACCACACCACAGUUCACAGCAACGCCAAAUCCUUAACCCACUGAGUGAGGUCAGGGAUUGAACCUGCAAUGGAUCAAUUUUUAAUUCCAGAUUCAGUGAAUAUAAUUCCAUAUCUUUUAAAUGGAUAUUCAGGGAGUGGCACAGGAGCUAUACUACCGGACUCAUAAGAAAUAAAGUAUAAAAAAGAAGUUGACCAAGUCCUUGGAGUUUAUCAAAAGUAGUAAACAAGUUAUGGUAUAAUUUACCACAAGCUGGACAACUCACAGUUACCUAAUCACAUUAUGAACUGUCAUAGCGCUGUGCCUUGACACGUCAUAUUUUUCACUGGGAAUCCCCUUUCUCCUCCUGAAAAAUAAAGAUCUAUUCCAAAUGAAGUGAACCUCCUUAUUUAAGUCACAUUUUGAUCUGGUAUUUCACAUUUUUUGAGUGAUUUUAAUUUAUUCUAUACUUGCUUUAUUCCUUUUGUAGGUGUCCAUGUCACUCACAUUAUUAAUUCUUAUAGGACUGGACUAAGCUAUAUUAAUUUUUGUAUUUUUAUACCUCCAACUGCCUAGCAAGGUGCUUGGUACAGCAUAAGGCCCCAAAAUACAUGAACCAAAUUUAAAGGAAUACUAUCAUUCUAAAUUAAUACGAUACACAAUCCACUACUUUUAUUCAUUUAAAUUUAUCAUUUUUCUGGUAAACAAAUAUUUGUAUUGAAGUAUGGUGAACUACAACACCAUGUUAUUUCCAGAUGCAUCCCAUAAUGGUUCAAUAUUUCUAUAACUAUAUGACCACCACAACGUCUAGAUACUCUCUACCACCAAAGUUAUUUCAGUAUUAGUGACAUUUUCUCCACACUAUAUAUUUUAUCUCUGUGACUUGUUUAUUCCAUAACUAAAAGUCAGUACCUUUUAAUCUGCCUCACUUAUUUUACUCAUCAUGGAUAGAACAAACAGAUAGCUGCCUGAGAUAAGAGGUUUAUUUUUCCUUUUGUUUCUCUUGCCUGAGAGGACAGAUCCAAAAGAAAUACUGCUAAGAUCAAUGUCAAGAGUAUACAUCUUAUCUUUUCUUCUAGGAGUUUUGUGGGUUCAGGUCUUACUCUUAAGCCUUUAAUCUACUUUGAGUUUAUUUCUGUAUAUAGUGAGAGAAAGUAGUCCAGUAUGAUUCUUUUGCAUGUACCUUCCAGUUUUUCCCAACGCUAUUUGUUGAAGAGACUGUCUUUUUUCCACUGUACAUUCUUGCCUCUUUUGUUGUCAAUUAAUUGACCAUAUAAGCAUGGGUUUAUUUCUAAGCUCUCUAUUCUGUUACAGUGAUCUAUGUGUCUGUUUUUGCCAAUACCAUACUCUUUAGAUCACUGUGGCAUAGUUUGAAAUCAGGGAAGAUGAUAUCUCCACAUUUGUUCUUCUUGCUCAAGAUUGUUUGGCUAUGUGGGGUCUUUUGAGUUUCUAUAUAAAUUUUAGAAGUAUUUGUCCUACUUCUGUGAAAAAUGCUAUUGGUAUUUGGAUAGGGAUUGCAUUGAAUCUGUGGAUUUCCUUGAGUAGUAUGGCAUCCUUGUCUUGUUCCCAGUGGUAGAGGAACUGCUUUUGUCUUUUCACCAUUGAGUAUGAUGUUAACUUGUGGGCUUAUCAUAUAUAUCCUUUACUUAUGUGGAUAAAUGCUCCCUAUAUACCCACUUUGUUAAGAGUUAUUUUUAUCAUAAAUGAAUGCUGAAUUUUGUCAAAAACUUUUUCUGCAUCUAUUGAUACUUUUAUUCUUCAAUUUAUAAACAUGAUGUAUCACAUUGAUUAAUUUGUGGAUAUGAAUCAUCCUUGCCCCCCUGAGAUAAAUCUCUCUUGAUAAUGGUGUAUGAUUCUUCUAAUGUAUGGUUGCAUUUCAUUUACUAAUAUUUUUUGAGGAUUAUUUGAAUCCAUGUUCAUUAGUAAUAUUGGACUAUAUUUUUCAUUUAUUUUAGAUAUCUUUGUCUGAUUUUGGUAUCAGAGUGACGCUGGCUUCAUAGAAUGAGUUCAGAAGUGUUUUUCCACUUCAAUUUUUAAAAAUAUUUUGAGAAGGACAAGUGUUAACUUUCAAGUAUUUUUAGAAUUCACCUAUAAAGCCAUCUGGUCCUGGACUUGUUGGGAGUCUUUUGCUUGUUUGUUUUUUUUAUGGCCACACACUGCUGGCAUAUGGAAAUUCCUGGGCCAGGGAUUGAAUCUCCAGCCAGAGCUGCAGCAACACUGGAUUCUUAUUUUUACUUUUGUCAAAUCUUCAUCAUCAUGUGAUGUCCUUCAUUCUCUCAUUAUGGUCUUUGUUUUAAAGUAUUUUUUCUGAUGCAAGUAUUGCAACCCCAGCUUUACGUUCAUUUCCUUUUGCAUGGAAUAUCUUUUUCCAUCCCCCUUACUUUCAGUCUAUGUGUGUCUUUAGCUCUGAAGUGUGGGGAGCAUAGAUAUGCCUCUCUCUUUUUUUUUUAAAUCCAUUCGGCCACUCUAUGUCUUUUAAUUGGAGCAUUUAGUCCAUUUACAUUUAAAGUAAUUAUUGAUAGUUAUGUAAUUAUUGCCAUUUUGUUCAUUGUUUUCUGGUUGGUUUUGUAGUUCUUAUUUGUUCCUAUAUUAUUCU